GGCCACUGCUUCAAUCCAUCGCAUUCAGGGUCUCUCUCUACCAUGACCCUGCUUUAUCAAGCAUGAUGAACGUCUGGCUGCUGCGUGGAGGACAUGUUUACGGAGACAGGCCUCGUGCCAGGUGCUUCACCUACUUUGCUGCGAACCCUCCCAAGAACCUAAUCAGAAGAUUGGAAAACCUAGACAAAAUGGAUACAUGUCCAGAAACUACCCAUGUUAAGGAACAAGACAGGGGUGACUGAAG
This is a long non-coding RNA of Echinops telfairi (small Madagascar hedgehog), 244 nucleotides long. RefSeq lists it as uncharacterized. The transcript has 3 exons. The record is from RefSeq and is a predicted model, not a curated record. NCBI's taxonomy places the organism in Eukaryota, Metazoa, Chordata, Mammalia, Afrosoricida, Tenrecidae.